This 396-nucleotide ribosomal RNA is filed under the name uncultured bacterium. RNAcentral's name for it is "bacterial SSU rRNA". It matches the Rfam family "Bacterial small subunit ribosomal RNA", at positions 28 to 436 of the family's 1533-position model. The record is from RNAcentral.
GAUGAACGCUGGCGGCGUGCCUAACACAUGCAAGUCGAGCGAUUCUCUUCGGAGAAGAGCGGCGGACGGGUGAGUAACGCGUGGGUAACCUGCCCUGUACACACGGAUAACAUACCGAAAGGUAUGCUAAUACGGGAUAACAUAAGAAAUUCGCAUGUUUUUCUUAUCAAAGCUCCGGCGGUACAGGAUGGACCCGCGUCUGAUUAGCUAGUUGGUGAGGUGACGGCUCACCAAGGCGACGAUCAGUAGCCGACCUGAGAGGGUGAUCGGCCACAUUGGAACUGAGACACGGUCCAAACUCCUACGGGAGGCAGCAGUGGGGAAUAUUGCACAAUGGGCGAAAGCCUGAUGCAGCAACGCCGCGUGAGCGAUGAAGGCCUGGUCGUAAGACUCUGU